Ceratobasidium sp. 394 is the source of this 101-nucleotide non-coding RNA. Lineage: Eukaryota; Fungi; Basidiomycota; Agaricomycetes; Cantharellales; Ceratobasidiaceae. The record is from the annotation of a GenBank genome assembly.
GGGCGCGUAGUGGAGUGGUUACCACGUUGGUCUUCGACGUGCAAGUCCGCGGAUUUGCUAGCGUUAACCAAAGUUCGUCAGUUCGAUCCUGGCCGCGCUCA